Molecule: transfer RNA, 72 nt
Filed under: Phytophthora infestans T30-4
Lineage: Eukaryota; Oomycota; Peronosporomycetes; Peronosporales; Peronosporaceae
Rfam family: tRNA
About the family: Transfer RNA (tRNA) molecules are approximately 80 nucleotides in length. Their secondary structure includes four short double-helical elements and three loops (D, anti-codon, and T loops).
Source: Rfam by way of RNAcentral
UGCCUCGUGGUCUAGUGGUAUGAUUCUCGUUUCGGGUGCGAGAGGUCCCGGGUUCGAUUCCCGGUGAGGCCC